This 1630-nucleotide long non-coding RNA is filed under the name Panax ginseng (ginseng). RNAcentral's name for it is "long non-coding RNA (PGIN_LNC005818)". Lineage: Eukaryota; Viridiplantae; Streptophyta; Magnoliopsida; Apiales; Araliaceae. The record is from RNAcentral.
UCAAAACUCUCGAUGAACUCUACAAGUAGGAGGAUAGAGACAUAGCACCGCAACACUGGUUUUGAGCACCGCAGCGCUAGGAGGUUUGCGGGGUAAGUUUGUCAAGCUGAUUUUCAAUUCUAUUCAACUUGGGAUUUGUUAUGUUGAUUCCAAAUUGGAUGGUGAGUCUACAAAUUUAAGGAAGAAGCCUAUAAAUACCUCAAAGGGCUGAUUUUCAACGGGACUAACAACUUACAUCUAACUUAACACCAUUCAAGUUAGGAUUCUUCAUCAGAUUUCUAGGAGCGCGAAGGAGAGCAAGUAAGAGGCUAAGUGUAGAGAUCAAGAACCGCGUGACACAUAUUUUUCUCUUCUCUUUUUCUUUACUUUUUGUAAUCCUAAGAUGUUCUUUGGUUUUAUGAUGAUGUCUCCCAACCUUGUUAUGAUUUAACUUAUUGAGAUUAUAAUGGAACAUAAUGAUUAGUUUAAAUUGACUUUCAUGUUUUGAUUAUUAUUGAUCAUAAUUGAGUCGAUUAUCAUACUUUGUGCUUAUCGAUGAUUGCCUAGCUAAUAAUUAUUAUGAUAUAACCUAGAUGAAGUUAGAAGAUGAAUUCUAGGGUUAGAUAUGAAUAUGAUAACAUGUGUUCUAGAUUAUUCUCUUGAUUGAAUAACUAGAUUCGUGUAUAGAAUAUGAAUAUACCUAUAGGACAUGCAACCUUGUUAAGAAUUGGUUCUUAAUGAUUCUGUUCUUAAUUAUUUCACUUAGGAAUAUAAUGAUUUAAUUAGAGUCGAUAUUUUUAUUAAACUAUAAGAAAAAGGUUUAUUAAAUAAUUAUGAAUUCAUGGUUGGCGAUUCUGUAUAAUUAAUUGAUUAAAAAGAGAGCGAAAAGAUUUAGGCGAGACAUUAGGGAAAAUUGUAAUAAGAUUGACUUGAUACAAAGUUAGUACUUAGAUAAUAUUAUUAGCAUAUUCCUCGUGGGAUUGACACUCUACUUACUACUUUAUUACUUGUCGAUCAUGUAUAUAUACUUGCGUCUAAUUGUCAAAACCAAUUUUGGACAACAAGUUUUUGGUGUUGUUGCUAGAGAAUAUUACUAAUAAUUUUUUCAAUAUUAAUUUCAAUCAAUUUGAUCUUAAUUUAAAUGUACUUUUUUGUUUUUAAUUUUUUUGUUUUAAUAUUUUUUUCGUAGGUAGACCAUGGCCAACUAUGAUUAUGAGUGGCCUUAUACCAGAAUGAUUUAACCAAAGGAGGCAGGGAUUUAUGGACUCGAUGCAUUGUCAGUACAGAUAAAGACACUUUAAAGAAAUAUUGACACUUUAGCAGCGCAACCUAUUCAAAGUGUAGCGAUGAUUUGUGAUUGUAGUGCUAGAAACCAUCUGAGUCAUCAAUGCGUCAUCAGUUUUGAGUCAGUACAAUAUGGUGGCAACUUCGGCGACUAUCCCAACGAUUAUCAUUAUAGUUGGGGGAAUUGUAACAAUUGUAGAUUUUACUAUUCUGGGGACAAAAUGCUUAUAAGAAGGGAAGAAUGUAACGAUUGUAAAUUUGUAAAAAGAAUUAUAAAUAUUUAUCAGGUAAAAUAAAUAUUUUAUUUGAAAUAAUUUAUUUUGUGUAAUUAUGUUACUCAAAUAUAUGAGAAUUACAUGUAUAUUUU